UGCGUAGGCGGUUAUAUUAGUCUUGUGUUAAAACUUCAGGCUCAACCUGAAGAUCGCAUAGGAAACGGUAUAACUAGAAUGAGUCAGAGGUGUACGGAACUCAAGGUGUAGGGGUGAAAUCCGUUGAUAUCUUGGGGAACACCAAAUGCGAAGGCAGUACACUGGGACUUCAUUGACGCUGAGGCACGAAAGCGUGGGUAGCGAACAGGAUUAGAUACCCUGGUAGUCC
RNAcentral lists this ribosomal RNA (229 nucleotides) under uncultured bacterium. RNAcentral describes it as "partial 16S ribosomal RNA". It matches the Rfam family "Bacterial small subunit ribosomal RNA", at positions 568 to 796 of the family's 1533-position model. The record is from RNAcentral.